AUUGAACGCUGGCGGCGUGCUUAACACAUGCAAGUCGAGCGGUAACGCGGGGGCAACCCUGGCGACGAGCGGCGAACGGGUGCGUAAUACAUGGGAAUCUGCCCUGUAGUGGGGAAUAACCCGGCGAAAGCCGGGCUAAUGCCGCAUACGAUCUACGGAUGAAAGCGGGGGACCUUCGGCCUCGCGCUAUUGGAUGAGCCCAUGUCGGAUUAGCUAGUUGGUGAGGUAACGGCCACCAAGGCGACGAUCCGUAGCUGGUCUGAGAGGACGGCCAGCCACACUGGGACUGAGACACGGCCCAGACUCCUACGGGAGGCAGCAGGUGGGGAAUAUUGGACAAUGGGCGAAAGCCUGAUCC
Molecule: ribosomal RNA, 358 nt
Filed under: uncultured bacterium
Lineage: Bacteria
Description: bacterial SSU rRNA
Rfam family: Bacterial small subunit ribosomal RNA
Source: RNAcentral